UCCGUAGGUAACCUGCGGAGGGAUCAUUACCGAGUUUACAACUCCCAAACCCCUGUGAACAUACCUUAUGUUGCCUCGGCGGAUCAGCCCGCGCCCCGUAAAAAGGGACGGCCCGCCGCAGGAACCCUAAACUCUGUUUUUAGUGGAACUUCUGAGUAUAAAAAACAAAUAAAUCAAAACUUUCAACAACGGAUCUCUUGGUUCUGGCAUCGAUGAAGAACGCAGCAAAAUGCGAUAAGUAAUGUGAAUUGCAGAAUUCAGUGAAUCAUCGAAUCUUUGAACGCACAUUGCGCCCGCCAGUAUUCUGGCGGGCAUGCCUGUUCGAGCGUCAUUUCAACCCUCAAGCCCAGCUUGGUGUUGGGAGCUGCAGUCCUGCUGCACUCCCCAAAUACAUUGGCGGUCACGUCGAGCUUCCAUAGCGUAGUAAUUUACACAUCGUUACUGGUAAUCGUCGCGGCCACGCCGUUAAACCCCAACUUCUGAAUGUUGACCUCGGAUCAGGUAGGAAUACCCGCUGAACUUAAGCAUAUCAAUAAGCGGAGGA
This 544-nucleotide ribosomal RNA is filed under the name Fusarium lateritium. Its description in RNAcentral is "eukaryotic LSU rRNA". The stretch from base 178 to 331 matches the Rfam family "5.8S ribosomal RNA". The record is from RNAcentral. Lineage: Eukaryota; Fungi; Ascomycota; Sordariomycetes; Hypocreales; Nectriaceae.